RNAcentral lists this signal recognition particle RNA (303 nucleotides) under Solanum tuberosum (potato). RNAcentral's name for it is "SRP RNA Plant_SRP". It matches the Rfam family "Plant signal recognition particle RNA". The record is from Rfam by way of RNAcentral. Lineage: Eukaryota; Viridiplantae; Streptophyta; Magnoliopsida; Solanales; Solanaceae.
GCCGGGCUCAGUAACAUGGGCUUGUAACCCAAGUGGGGGCAUUAGUGUGGUGGAAUGUUGGGCUGUUCCAGAUGGUUGGGCUUGGUGGGCUAAUUUCUGGCCUGCCCUGUCCAAGCACAGAGUUGGGCCUUGUGGUCCAAUCGAAGGAAUGGGCUUCUGGGCUCCUAAAGCGGGGCAGACUGCGUGAGGCUGGUUUCACAGAACAACGAACAGUUUCCGCUCUGUGCAGUGGAAGGAUAACGAGUCGGUGCCUUCCAAGUCCAGUAACGCCUGAUGGGCUGCUCCAACUAAACCACCAUUUUU